Long non-coding RNA from Budorcas taxicolor (takin), 274 nucleotides. RefSeq lists it as uncharacterized. NCBI's taxonomy places the organism in Eukaryota, Metazoa, Chordata, Mammalia, Artiodactyla, Bovidae. The transcript has 3 exons. The record is from RefSeq and is a predicted model, not a curated record.
AGCAACGCCGCUCGGGGUCGGAGAGCAAGCGUUUUCGCUCGAGCUUUCUGUGUGACUCUCUCUCUCGGUUUAGCCUCUGUGCCCAGAGGUUCCAUCCCUAAGCUAUGGGGUGUCUUCUCUCCUUUGGAAGGACUUUAGAGAUGGCAGUUGUGACUUGCCUGGUAUGUCUGCCUCACCUGGUUUGAAGGAUGCGCGACACCCUUCACCUGGCCAAAUCCUUCAAGCCCCGUUUCCAUGAAGCUUUCUCUGAAUGCUUUUGCCUUUGAACUCUUGA